This 254-nucleotide ribosomal RNA is filed under the name uncultured bacterium. RNAcentral describes it as "partial small subunit ribosomal RNA". It matches the Rfam family "Bacterial small subunit ribosomal RNA", at positions 26 to 285 of the family's 1533-position model. The record is from RNAcentral.
AGGACGAACGCUGGCGGCGUGCUUAACACAUGCAAGUCGAGCGGAAAGGCCCUUCGGGGUACUCGAGCGGCGAACGGGUGAGUAACACGUGAGCAACCUGCCCUUAGCUUCGGGAUAGCUCCGGGAAACCGGAAUUAAUACCGAAUAUGACUUUGGCUGACAUCAGCAGAAGUGGAAAGUUUUUCGGCUAGGGAUGGGCCCGCGGCCUAUCAGCUUGUUGGUGGGGUAACGGCCUACCAAGGCGACGACGGGUA